Molecule: ribosomal RNA, 275 nt
Filed under: uncultured Ohtaekwangia sp.
Lineage: Bacteria; Pseudomonadati; Bacteroidota; Cytophagia; Cytophagales; Fulvivirgaceae
Description: partial 16S ribosomal RNA
Rfam family: Bacterial small subunit ribosomal RNA
Source: RNAcentral
CCUACGGGCGGCUGCAGUAGGGAAUAUUGGUCAAUGGAUGCAAGUCUGAACCAGCCAUGCCGCGUGCAGGAAGAAGGCCUUAUGGGUUGUAAACUGCUUUUGCCAGGGGAUAAAACGGUCCUGCGGGACUAAUUGAAGGUACCUGGUGAAUAAGCCACGGCUAACUACGUGCCAGCAGCCGCGGUAAUACGUAGGUGGCAAGCGUUGUCCGGAUUUAUUGGGUUUAAAGGGUGCGUAGGCGGUUUUUUAAGUCAGUGCUGAAAUACUCCAGCUUA